RNAcentral lists this non-coding RNA (779 nucleotides) under Vanessa indica (Asian admiral). The record is from RNAcentral. Lineage: Eukaryota; Metazoa; Arthropoda; Insecta; Lepidoptera; Nymphalidae.
UAUAAUAAAAUAAUUAUGUUUUUAUUAAUUUAUUAUAAAUUUGUUUUACAUAUAAAUUUUAGUAUAUAAUUUUAAUUAUUUUAAUAAUAAUUAAUUAUUUUAGUAGUAAUUAAUAUUAAAAAUUUAAGAAAUUAAGAUUUAGCAAUAUAAAAAUUAAUAACUAAUUUUGUGCCAGCAGUUGCGGUUAAACAAAGGUUAAAUUAAAUUAUUUCAGUUUAUAAUAAAUAAAUGUGUUAAUUAAAAUAAAUAUUAAAUUAUUAGGUGAAAUUUUAAUUUAAUUAAAUUUUAUUUAAAAAUUAUGAUUUAAUAAAUUUUAAUAUAAACUAGGAUUAGAUACCCUAUUAUUAAAAAUUUAAUUUAUAAUACUAAAAUAGUAAAUAAUAAUUUAUUGAAACUUAAAUAAUAUGGCGGUAUUUUAGUUCAUUUAGAGGAAUCUGUCUAAUAAUUGAUAAUCCACGAAUAAAUUUACUUAAUUUAUAAUUUUGUAUAUCAUUGUUAAAAAAAUAUUUUUUAGUAAAAAUAAUAUUUAAAAAUUAAUAAUAGAAAUUAAUUCAGAUCAAGAUGCAGAAUAUAAUUAAGAAUAUGAUGGAUUACAAUAAAUAUAUUUAAAUGAAUAAUUUUAUUGUAAUAAAAAUUUGAAGGUGGAUUUAAAUGUAAUUUUAAUUAGUUUAUUAAAAUGAUUAUAAAUUAAAAUAUGUACAUAUUGCCCGUCACUUUCAUUUAAAAGUUGAAAUAAGUCGUAACAAAGUAGAGGUACUGGAAAGUGUUUCUAGAAAGAA